Molecule: ribosomal RNA, 371 nt
Filed under: uncultured organism
Description: partial 16S ribosomal RNA
Rfam family: Bacterial small subunit ribosomal RNA
Source: RNAcentral
AGAGGGUGCAAACGUUGCUCGGAUUUACUGGGCGUAAAGCGCGUGUAGGCGGACUCGCAAGUCGGUUGUGAAAUCCCUGGGCUUAACCUAGGAACUGCAUCCGAAACUGCUUGUCUUGAGUAAUGGAGAGGGUGGCGGAAUUCCCGGUGUAGAGGUGAAAUUCGUAGAUAUCGGGAGGAACAUCAGUGGCGAAGGCGGCCACCUGGACAUUUACUGACGCUGAGACGCGAAAGCGUGGGGAGCAAACAGGAUUAGAUACCCUGGUAGCCCACGCCGUAAACGAUGAGAACUAGGUGCAGCGGAUAUUGACCUCUGCUGUGCCGUAGCUAACGCGUUAAGUUCUCCGCCCUGGGAGUACGGCCGCAAGGCUA